UGACAUCUUCAUAUAUAACCCUUUGUUCUUCGUUGAGUUUAGGAAACAACUCUUGAUGGAUCCUACUUUCUUCUGCGAUGUCAAACUGGUACUGGCGAGGCAUUUUUUUGUUUUCCAUAUCUUCUAAAACUGUUUGGCUUGGCAGCGGCAUUCAUGUGAACUCUGUAAGUGAUGUUUCAUGGUUUUGUAGGAGGCCCUCUAUUUCAAUGAGAGUGUACUGCUGGAGUUCAUGGGGGCUAAGUUCAAGGGCUGGAAAUUGCAGUAACCGACGCUGGUGGCGAAGAACGUCUUCUGACAUACAUUGCCA
RNAcentral lists this long non-coding RNA (307 nucleotides) under Brassica napus (rape). RNAcentral's name for it is "long non-coding RNA (BNAP_LNC015439)". The record is from RNAcentral. Lineage: Eukaryota; Viridiplantae; Streptophyta; Magnoliopsida; Brassicales; Brassicaceae.